This 492-nucleotide ribosomal RNA is filed under the name uncultured bacterium. RNAcentral describes it as "partial 16S ribosomal RNA". It matches the Rfam family "Bacterial small subunit ribosomal RNA", at positions 29 to 507 of the family's 1533-position model. The record is from RNAcentral.
AUUGAACGCUGGCGGCAUGCUUUACACAUGCAAGUCGAACGGUAACAGGCCUUCGGGUGCUGACGAGUGGCGAACGGGUGAGUAAUGCAUCGGAACGUACCCAGAGGUGGGGGAUAACGCAGCGAAAGCUGUGCUAAUACCGCAUGUGAUCUGAGGAUGAAAGCGGGGGACCGAGCAGCAAUGUUUGGCCUCGCGCCUUUGGAGCGGCCGAUGUCGGAUUAGCUAGUUGGUGGGGUAAAGGCCUACCAAGGCGACGAUCCGUAGCUGGUCUGAGAGGACGACGAGCCACACUGGGACUGAGACACGGCCCAGACUCCUACGGGAGGCAGCAGGGGGGAAUUUUGGACAAUGGGCGCAAGCCUGAUCCAGCAAUGCCGCGUGCGGGAAGAAGGCCUUCGGGUUGUAAACCGCUUUUGGCAGGAACGAAACGGUGUCCGCUAAUACCGGGCGCUAAUGACGGUACCUGCAGAAUAAGCACCGGCUAACUACGUG